Molecule: ribosomal RNA, 232 nt
Filed under: uncultured bacterium
Lineage: Bacteria
Description: partial 16S ribosomal RNA
Rfam family: Bacterial small subunit ribosomal RNA
Source: RNAcentral
UGAGCAAUCUGCCCUUCUCUUCGGAAUAAGCGUUGGAAACGACGUCUAAUGCCGAAUACGACCUCCUUUCGCAUGAUCGGAGGUGGAAAGCUCCGGCGGAGAAGGAUGAGCUCGCGGCCUAUCAGCUAGUUGGUGUGGGUAAUGGCCCACCAAGGCGACGACGGGUAGCCGGCCUGAGAGGGUGACCGGCCACACGUGGGACUGAGCACGGCCAGACUCGACGGGAGNAGCG